RNAcentral lists this ribosomal RNA (424 nucleotides) under uncultured delta proteobacterium. RNAcentral's name for it is "bacterial SSU rRNA". It matches the Rfam family "Bacterial small subunit ribosomal RNA", at positions 958 to 1385 of the family's 1533-position model. Lineage: Bacteria; Deltaproteobacteria. The record is from RNAcentral.
AACGCGAAGAACCUUACCUGGUCUUGACAUCCUCGGAGCCUGCCAGAGAUGGCGGGGUGCCCGCAAGGGAACCGAGAGACAGGUGCUGCAUGGCUGUCGUCAGCUCGUGUCGUGAGAUGUUGGGUUAAGUCCCGCAACGAGCGCAACCCUCGCCUUUAGUUGCCACGCAAGUGGAUCUCUAGAGGGACUGCCGGUGUUAAACCGGAGGAAGGUGGGGAUGACGUCAAGUCCUCAUGGCCUUUAUGACCAGGGCUACACACGUGCUACAAUGGCCGGUACAAAGCGCUGCCAACUCGCGAGAGGGAGCCAAUCGCAUAAAACCGGUCUCAGUUCAGAUUGGAGUCUGCAACUCGACUCCAUGAAGGCGGAAUCGCUAGUAAUCGUAGAUCAGCACGCUACGGUGAAUACGUUCCCGGGCCUUGUA